GUCCCAGUAGUAUAAAUAUUACUCUGGUCUU
Molecule: transfer RNA, 31 nt
Filed under: Oryctolagus cuniculus (rabbit)
Lineage: Eukaryota; Metazoa; Chordata; Mammalia; Lagomorpha; Leporidae
Description: partial transfer RNA-thr
Source: RNAcentral